GCGUCCCCCAGAAUGGGCGAGGUCACCCCGCCCUAGUUUAAUCAUAUCCAAUAAGCGGCGAGAGAAAAAAACUUUCCC
This 78-nucleotide ribosomal RNA is filed under the name Dendrobium anosmum. RNAcentral's name for it is "partial 28S ribosomal RNA". The record is from RNAcentral. Lineage: Eukaryota; Viridiplantae; Streptophyta; Magnoliopsida; Asparagales; Orchidaceae.